Molecule: ribosomal RNA, 404 nt
Filed under: uncultured bacterium
Lineage: Bacteria
Description: bacterial SSU rRNA
Rfam family: Bacterial small subunit ribosomal RNA
Source: RNAcentral
UAGGGAAUAUUGCACAAUGAGCGAAAGCUUGAUGCAGCAACGCCGCGUGCGCGAUGACGGCCUUCGGGUUGUAAAGCGCCUUUCGGGGAGAUGAGGAAGGACAGUAUCCCCGGAAUAAGUCUCGGCUAACUACGUGCCAGCAGCCGCGGUGACACGUAGGAGGCAAGCGUUAUCCGAAUUUACUGGGCGUAAAGCGCGUGCAGGCGGUUCGGUAAGUUGGAUGUGAAAUCUCCCGGCUCAACUGGGAGGGGACGUUCAAUACUGUCGGACUUGAGGACGAUAGAGGGAGGUGGAAUUCCCGGUGUAGUGGUGAAAUGCGUAGAUAUCGGGAGGAACACCAGUGGCGAAAGCGGCCUCCUGGAUCGUUCCUGACGCUCAGACGCGAAAGCUAGGGGAGCGAACGG